GACGAACGCUGGCGGCGUGCUUAACACAUGCAAGUCGAACGGUAAGGCCCUUCGGGGUACACGAGUGGCGAACGGGUGAGUAACACGUGGGUGAUCUGCCCUGCACUUCGGGAUAAGCCUGGGAAACUGGGUCUAAUACCGGAUAGGACCACUGCCUGCAUGGGUGGUGGUGGAAAGCUUUUGCGGUGUGGGAUGGGCCCGCGGCCUAUCAGCUUGUUGGUGGGGUGAUGGCCUACCAAGGCGACGAAGGGUAGCCGGCCGGAGAGGGUGACCGGCCACACUGGGACUGAGAUACGGACCAGACUCCGACGGGAGGCAGCAGUGGGGAAUAUUGCACAAUGGGCGCAAGCCUGAUGCAGCGACGCCGCGUGAGGGAUGACGGCCUUCGGGUUGUAAACCUCUUUCAGCACCGACGAAGCGCAAGUGACGGUAGGUGCAGAAGAAGGACCGGCCAACUACGUGCCAGCCGCCGCAGUAA
Molecule: ribosomal RNA, 478 nt
Filed under: uncultured bacterium
Lineage: Bacteria
Description: partial 16S ribosomal RNA
Rfam family: Bacterial small subunit ribosomal RNA
Source: RNAcentral